Cajanus cajan (pigeon pea) is the source of this 126-nucleotide non-coding RNA. The record is from Rfam. NCBI's taxonomy places the organism in Eukaryota, Viridiplantae, Streptophyta, Magnoliopsida, Fabales, Fabaceae.
UUUUACUAACAAUAUGCAUCUGCUUUUCAGUAGCUUGUCUCAUCAGAACUUCACAGUUAAACGUGCUUUACUUGAAGUAAUAUAGGGAUGGGUGACCUUCUGGAAAGUUUCUAGAAAUUGUGUAAU